Molecule: long non-coding RNA, 810 nt
Organism: Gallus gallus (chicken)
Lineage: Eukaryota; Metazoa; Chordata; Aves; Galliformes; Phasianidae
Source: Ensembl
AUUUAAAUGCUAAAGGGCAGCUCCUCUACUGAAGGCAACUGAAGCCAAGAGAGCUGUGACAGUUUAUGCCAACUGAAGAUUUGCCUUUAAGUAAAUGUUUUAAACUUUUCACUAAGGAGACUAAAAUAAGCCAUAGCAUGAAACGUUAAGAGUAAAGAAUGAACUCUGGAGACCAGAGGGAUUUGGGAAAUGAAAUGAGAUCCAUCUUACUGGCACAUUUCCCCCUCCGUCUAUUUUUGGAAUUUAAAAAAUUCCCCCAGAUUUGUCUUCUACAGACCAGCUUUUUGUUCACAGACCAGCACUGAGCAGCCUCCUCUUUCACACAGGGCAGCUAUGCAACUUGCAACCAGAUAUGAGAUGAACAGGAAGAUUUGUAGUUGGUGAGCAAGUUGUGAUCAACCCAACUCCUCUGCAGAAUGCUGUGAUGCUCACCAUGACUGGCGGAUGUCCUGGAGAACCUGGCUCGCAGUUCGAGACCUUCAUGAAACUUAUGGAACAUUCUCUCAACUGCAGUAGCCCAGAGAUGGCAAAGGCACAAUCGCAGGCCUCUAGUUCUUGGCUUCUGUGUGUUGGCAUUGCCUUUGAAUGUGCUAAACGCUGUGGUCAAGAAAAGUUCUGGUUUGCAGGAAAGCAAGCUUUCAGACAAUUGCUAUUCUCAGUGGAUUUUCUAAUAAUUCAGUACCUGUCUCUGCACUCGUCCCCAUUCAGUACGACAAGGCAAAUCAUACGACCUGGAUCAUACACCGAGCUACAGUGCAAACAGGUGGGACUCCAAUGAUCUCAGCAAGCUCCCUUCCAGAUCUGGCACAC